CGUGGGCAACCUGCCUCACACAGGGGGAUAACAGCUAGAAAUGGCUGCUAAUACCGCAUAAGCGCACAGCAUGGCAUCAUGCAGUGUGAAAAACUCCGGUGGUGUGAGAUGGGCCCGCGUCUGAUUAGCUGGUUGGUAAGGUAACGGCUUACCAAGGCGACGAUCAGUAGCCGACCUGAGAGGGUGACCGGCCACAUUGGGACUGAGACACGGCCCAA
RNAcentral lists this ribosomal RNA (218 nucleotides) under uncultured bacterium. RNAcentral's name for it is "partial 16S ribosomal RNA". It matches the Rfam family "Bacterial small subunit ribosomal RNA", at positions 116 to 334 of the family's 1533-position model. The record is from RNAcentral.